UAGCGGCGAGUGANGCGGCAAANGCUCAAAUUUGAAAUCUGGCACCUUCGGUGUCCGAGUUGUAAUUUGAAGAUUGUAACCUUGGGGUUGGCUCUUGUCUAUGUUUCUUGGAACAGGACGUCACAGAGGGUGAGAAUCCCGUGCGAUGAGAUGCCCAAUCCUAUGUAAGGUGCUUUCGAAGAGUCGAGUUGUUUGGGAAUGCAGCUCUAAGUGGGUGGUAAAUUCCAUCUAAAGCUAAAUAUUGGCGAGAGACCGAUAGCGAACAAGUACAGUGAUGGAAAGAUGAAAAGAACUUUGAAAAGAGAGUGAAAAAGUACGUGAAAUUGUUGAAAGGGAAGGGUUUGAGAUCAGACUCGAUAUUUUGUGAGCCUUGCCUUCGUGGCGGGGUGACCCGCAGCUUAUCGGGCCAGCAUCGGUUUGGGCGGUAGGAUAAUGGCGUAGGAAUGUGACUUUGCUUCGGUGAAGUGUUAUAGCCUGCGUUGAUGCUGCCUGCCUAGACCGAGGACUGCGAUUUUAUCAAGGAUGCUGGCAUAAUGAUCCCAAACCGCCCG
This 551-nucleotide ribosomal RNA is filed under the name Meyerozyma caribbica. RNAcentral's name for it is "partial large subunit ribosomal RNA". It matches the Rfam family "Eukaryotic large subunit ribosomal RNA", at positions 84 to 651 of the family's 3401-position model. The record is from RNAcentral. Lineage: Eukaryota; Fungi; Ascomycota; Pichiomycetes; Serinales; Debaryomycetaceae.